AAAUUAAUUAGUAAAUACGAACCAAUUAUUUACAUGCCCACGGAAUCAGAAUUGCAAGAAAAACUAUUAGAGGAACUGCAAAAUAUUUUCGCAAAAAAUGGAGUUAGUAUAUGUACUUACAAUCUUCCAGAAAUCUCAUCAAACUAUACACCAAAUGACAAUAAUCAACUUAUUCAAGAAGAAUUAAACUAUGAUCAACAAUCUUUAGAAAUCGAAGCAACCAAAUUAUAUUCCCAAUUGAAUAUUGAUCAAAAAAAUGCUUUCCAUGAGAUCAUAAAUAGUGUUGUAAAUGGAAAAUCAAAUUUUUUCUUUGUAUCCGGUCAUGGAGGAACUGGCAAAACAUUUCUAUGGAACUGUAUUAUAUCGUUUCUAAGAGCACGAAGAAAAAUAGUUUUGACAGUUGCAUCAUCAGGAGUAGCUUCACUAUUACUUCCAAAUGGACGUACA
Molecule: unclassified non-coding RNA, 447 nt
Filed under: Zea mays
Lineage: Eukaryota; Viridiplantae; Streptophyta; Magnoliopsida; Poales; Poaceae
Description: misc RNA Zm00001eb296890
Source: RNAcentral